This 74-nucleotide transfer RNA is filed under the name marine sediment metagenome. RNAcentral describes it as "tRNA-Thr". It matches the Rfam family "tRNA". From Rfam's summary of the family: Transfer RNA (tRNA) molecules are approximately 80 nucleotides in length. Their secondary structure includes four short double-helical elements and three loops (D, anti-codon, and T loops). The record is from RNAcentral.
GCCCGAGUAGCUCAAAUUAGCAGAGCACCUCACCUGUAAUGAGGAUGUUGGGGGUGCAAGUCCUCUCUCGGGCU